RNAcentral lists this ribosomal RNA (388 nucleotides) under uncultured bacterium. RNAcentral's name for it is "bacterial SSU rRNA". It matches the Rfam family "Bacterial small subunit ribosomal RNA", at positions 370 to 772 of the family's 1533-position model. The record is from RNAcentral.
AAUGGGCGAAAGCCUGACCCAGCAACGCCGCGUGAAGGAAGAAGGCCCUCGGGUUGUAAACUUCUUUUAUCAGGGACGAAAAAAAUGACGGUACCUGAUGAAUAAGCCACGGCUAACUACGUGCCAGCAGCCGCGGUAAUACGUAGGUGGCAAGCGUUAUCCGGAUUUACUGGGUGUAAAGGGCGUGUAGGCGGGACUGCAAGUCAGAUGUGAAAACUAUGGGCUUAACCCAUAGCCUGCAUUUGAAACUGUGGUUCUUGAGUGAUGGAGAGGCAGGCGGAAUUCCGUGUGUAGCGGUGAAAUGCGUAGAUAUACGGAGGAACACCAGUGGCGAAGGCGGCCUGCUGGACAUUAACUGACGCUGAGGCGCGAAAGCGUGGGGAGCAAA